AUUCAAUGUCAUUCAAAACCAACAGUUCCCAAGCAAAAACUGUCUCAAAAACCGAUCUAACCUUUUGCGCACAUUGUCCUAGUCAAGCGGUCAAACGAUCCGGGAAUUGAAAUCAAGUGACUCAACGAUUAAGUACACGAGCCUGGGACGGCAGUGGUCAACGAGAAGAACACAAAAGAAUUGCUUAUCAAAUAUGGAAAGUACAGGGCGUUAGAGAGCUUUGCAUCCUGGGAAUAAGGGAACCGAACUCUAAGGAGUGCGUAACGAAACCAACGCAGGCGAAAGCGUUGAGUGAGCAACGGAUGGGGAUCACAGCUUGCAGAGGCAGAACAGCAGUGGUAUAAAGGCCCCGAUGGCGAUGAAAACUGGUAGCAAGAUCGAUGAGUCGUCCAUGGAGUAUGGAUUCGGUUGGCGGGGGCCACUGUAAGACCGCUUUGUGUCCGAUUGCAGCGACGGCUGAUCGCUGCCCAGCUUGUCGACAUUCUGCUCGGAAAGCUCCUCUUCAAACUCUUCGUCGUCCAGGUCCUCGUCAUCCUCAUCAAUGUCGUCCCGCUGGUUGCGCACCACCCUCUCUACCUGCUGAGCUUUCUUCUGUUCCGCGUUCAGCUUACCCUCCGGUUUAAUCCUCUCAGUCGCCUCGGUACCAUGCAUUCGUGGCACCUGGGAGAUAUCUCCCUUGAGCAGGGCGAAUGCAUUGAUCUUGGGAUUAUCCAGUGCCCCCUUUAUAAAGUCCAGCCGGAGGCGGCCAUUUCGCACAUCGGACACCUCGCCUUCAUAGUUUAAUCGUCCGUUGUUGAUCUUAAAGUACACAAUCUCGUCGUGUGCCGAGCCCCUGCCCACCUCGUUGUAGAUGUCCAGCUGGCGGACAACCGUGUGCUUGCGGUUUAGGAGCACAUCGAAAACCUUCUUCUGCGGCGCAUCAAAGUAUACCUCACAGAACUUCAUUAUCAAGGCGUAAUCUCCAUCGCCAUCGCUUGGUAAAUCGUACCCAAAUGUAGUGGUGUGAUACCGCUCGGUCCUGUAGAGCACCUCGUCAUGUUCCUGUACCCGGCCGAUCAUCAGCAGGUGUUUGCCGUAGUCCGAAGCUAUUCCAACUCCUUUGAGAGGAUCCGCAUCGUAUUGGACCCCGUUAAGAUCGGUGUGCUCAUCUCCGCCAGCGUUGACCGCGUAUAUAACUUUCAGGGGUUCCGCGGCUGUGAAGGUACCCAUAAGGACGAGCACCAGGAGCACCGACAUCCAGGUCCUUUGGCCACUUGCCCGCAAGUAGUUCCGGAAAAUCCCCGUUUUGCAUGCUACGUUGCACAUGUCAGCAAUUGUUGUUGUUUUUUUGCGCCGGAGUUCGCCUUGCUGCAUUUCCCUUGCUUCGCGAAGCCUCUUUUCUGGCCGCUUUAUUUUCCGGUAUUGAAUCCUCGGCAAAUUCCGUCGCCUAGCUAUUACUGACAGGUUUUCGGGGCCGGAAUAAAUCCAUUUACAAACUCGUAUAGAAAUAUACAGUGCAGCCUUUUCGCAUGUACCAGAGAACUAGAGAGAACUGCUCGUUGGAACCAGUAUUUUUGAAGCAGUGGUAUUUUCUAAAUGCUUUUUAUACGCAUAAUACAAAUCUAACAGUAUUUCUUUAUUCGCCGAAUUUGAAGGUUGUCACGCAAUUCG
Non-coding RNA from Drosophila melanogaster (fruit fly), 1650 nucleotides. NCBI's taxonomy places the organism in Eukaryota, Metazoa, Arthropoda, Insecta, Diptera, Drosophilidae. The record is from Ensembl.